This 34-nucleotide ribosomal RNA is filed under the name Trichoderma inhamatum. RNAcentral describes it as "partial 18S ribosomal RNA". Lineage: Eukaryota; Fungi; Ascomycota; Sordariomycetes; Hypocreales; Hypocreaceae. The record is from RNAcentral.
CUUCUCCGAUCCUGAACCAGUGGGGAUCAUUACC